AAGCUCGUAGUUGAAUUUCGGGGUUAGUAGGUUGGUCAUGCCUCUGGUAUGUACUGGUCUCACUGAUUCCUCCUUCCUUAUGAACCGUAAUGCCAUUAAUUUGGUGUUGCGGGGAAUUUGGACUGUUACUUUGAAAAAAUUAGAGUGUUUAAAGCAAGCUAACGCUUGAAUACAUUAGCAUGGAAUAAUGAAAUAGGACGUUCGAUCUUAUUUUGUUGGUUUCUUAGGAUUGACGUAAUGAUUAAUAGGGAUAGUUGGGCGU
This 262-nucleotide ribosomal RNA is filed under the name uncultured Glomus. RNAcentral's name for it is "partial 18S ribosomal RNA". It matches the Rfam family "Eukaryotic small subunit ribosomal RNA", at positions 624 to 889 of the family's 1831-position model. Lineage: Eukaryota; Fungi; Glomeromycota; Glomeromycetes; Glomerales; Glomeraceae. The record is from RNAcentral.